AUCCAGGUGAUGAGUCCCACAUAGGAUGAGACGCGCGUCCUAGAU
Schistosoma rodhaini is the source of this 45-nucleotide non-coding RNA. The record is from Rfam. Lineage: Eukaryota; Metazoa; Platyhelminthes; Trematoda; Strigeidida; Schistosomatidae.